This 1118-nucleotide long non-coding RNA is filed under the name Daphnia pulicaria. RNAcentral describes it as "uncharacterized LOC124350243, transcript variant X1". Lineage: Eukaryota; Metazoa; Arthropoda; Branchiopoda; Diplostraca; Daphniidae. The record is from RNAcentral.
CUGACGGCUGACGCUGACUUGAAAGUGUCUUCCAAGUUGAUUGGUGUCGAUCCACAUUUUUAGCCAUUAAAUGUAAUUGGCAAUCUGGUAUAUAACUUCACUUGGCCAAAUGUGAUGACGUGGGUCGAAACUGCUGUCCAUUUUGUCGAAAAGUCGGCCAUUGUUAUUUAGCUGUACGUCUCAUCUCGUGCAGAAACACUUCAGAGCUAGCGAGCUAGUAAAUUGAUUUUCAGGUCGGAAAUGGAGAUCCCUUUGCUCAACUGUUGCAGAAAUUUAGAACACAACAAAGUCUGAGCUUCAUGGCUGUAGUAUCAUUAAUGUGGUUUUGUUGCAGCCAGCUGGUGAAAGGUGUGAUCGAGUGAUGGUUGAGUUGCAGCUUCUGCAUGCAGUUUAUCAAGCUGGUGCUAUCCCAAGUGUAACUGCAGGAAAACUUCUUGAACUGCCAGGUGAAGUCUCACUUCUUUGUUGCAGUCUAAUGUGCGCAUGGAUUUGUUGCAGUCAUCCAGUGAAAGGUGUGAUUAAAUUGAGCUGUUGCAUGCAGUCUUUGGUGCUGAUGUUGUCCUGCAGUGUGGGAGAGUCCCAUGCUUCAAGUCUUCUGGGAUCAGCCAUAUCUGAGUUGACGCUGGAUCAUGCUGCAUUAUGGUUGCCGAAAUGUUGGACAUCUAGUAGAACUGUAAGAAGACUCCUUGAAAUGGUUUAUGUUUACGUAGCAGUGAUGUUGCUGUCCAAUAUGGCAUGUUGUUGCAGCCUAUACUGGUGAAAGAUUUUUUGCUUCGAGUUAUGCUGUUGCUGUUCCUUGGUGCCGGACUGCUGGUGUUGUGCACAAAAGUUACAUCCAGUUUUAAUUGUUAUUUGUGUCUAUGCAGUUAACCGUUUAUGUGUUGAAAAGGAACAGAAAAGUUUCUUGGUGUUGAAUCGCUGGUGUUGUGCUACAUCAGUUACAUCCAGUAUUUUGUUUAAUUGCUAUUUGCGUCUAUGAAGUUAACCGUUUAUAUGUUGAGAAUGAAAAAAAAUAGUAAUACGGGGAAUUUUUACGUUGAACAAAUAAUAAACAUGCCUUCGCGAUUGGGAAACCAGCGAGGAGGAGAUAGGGGGGGGGGGCAGUUGAUUUUCAUUAA